Apodemus sylvaticus (European woodmouse) is the source of this 4287-nucleotide long non-coding RNA. RefSeq lists it as uncharacterized. NCBI's taxonomy places the organism in Eukaryota, Metazoa, Chordata, Mammalia, Rodentia, Muridae. The record is from RefSeq and is a predicted model, not a curated record. The transcript has 3 exons.
UGGACCUAGUUGAAGAGAGCGGCUUCAUCGCCUAUGGAAUCCACUACUUGCACCUUUCUCUGGGAUUAGCCUUCCAUCAGGGAUCCAGAAUAGAGAGUGAAGGAACAGCUCCUAGUCUGAGCCUCAGUUUGGACAACAAUGGAACUUUGGAGAAGUAGGGUGUGACAAAUGCAGGCAACGUGAGGACAGUGUCUUGAGACAAGGACAUUUCUUGCUACGAGAAACCACCAUUUGCAGGACAUCAGUCCAGAUGAUUUUGGGAGGUCUUUGACAUCCAGACAUCCUCUUUUUAAAGCCUGGGAGAGACUAUUGGUAAAGUGGCCAGCCUUAGUCUCUUGAAGGAAUUACAAGUCGAUGGAGGACUUUAACCAAAGACUCAAGUAACAUGUGAAAGCUGUUGUAAAUUUAUUUGGAAAGUGUUAAAGUUAUGGAUAGAUAAAAGUGACAGAGGCAUGAACAAAAUUGGACAUUUUAAACCCACAACAUGGGCAAGUGUUUGCUGCUUAAAAAAAAAAAACUUUACUGUACAGUCUGCACUGAGACUUUAUUUAUUAUCAUUCAUUUAUUUUUCCCACAGGGAUCUUUAACCUUUAAGCCUGGAGGCAAAACUUGAAUUGUGCUUGGAGUAGCUAAACUCCAGUUGCUGUUGUCUGCUUGAUUGUUUUGUCUGGUCCUUGAGGCAGGGGGUCCUGAACCCCCUGGACAACCUUGAACUUCUGAUCCUUCCUGCCAGCAAAUUCCCACACCCAGAGUUUACAAGCAUGCAUCACCAAACCAGCUUACAUUGCUGUUGCCUUCAGCUCUGUAGACGGUGAGUUGGAACAGCAAAAGAUGAAGGCAGUUUACUCUAAGAGUAUAAAAGAGUGGUUAAGUUUUUAAAAGUUUCACAAUUUGGAUACUUAUUCAUUCCACGUGCUUAGAAAUUCUGAAGGACUUUGUAAUCAUGGGCUAGGUAAGGCAGGUGCUACAGUGCAGCUGUGGAAUCUAACCAACUGUCUCCCCAAGUCCAUUGAGCCAAUAAUUUAUAAGAUAGCUCUGGUCAACUUGACUCUCAACUCAUGAUAAACUUUCCAUCAAACAUACAGAAGAAACAAGUGUGGAAAUUACAUCCUGACUCGAAUUGGUAAACAACCCAUGCCUGCUUACAUAGACAGGUUCCAAUGGAUAGAAGGCAAAAGAAUUCAUAGUAUUUUAGACAUAGAUGGCUGACCUAUGAGUUAUCAUGUGUCACACUGCACAGUUAUUGAAACCAUUGGAAAGGAAAGUGUUGUUGUCUGUAGUGUGGAAUGUCUGGAGAAGGUUAUUUUUCUGUGAACAUCAGACUAUUACUAAAGAGGAUUAUGUUGAACAUACAAAAAAUUUUUUUAAUAUUGGGGAAUUACAAAAACACACCUUGACACCUUGUGUUCGUUGUGACAUGAAUGGCUGGCUUGGAGAGUCAGGGUCCUGAUGUCGUGCGCCAGACUGACCUUGUCCCACACUGUGGGUCAGUGGGGGGUGCUCUGUUCCUGGCCACAGGUUAGUCCCCAGUGCCACAGAUGUCCUCACUCCCCAAAUGUUCCAUUUCAUUCCCAAAUGGCAAACCUUGUGACUCAUUGUGUAUUUCAACUUGAAUUCACGCAUACAGUUAUUUGAUUUUCUUGCUUUUUUACCCUCUGCCUGCCGCUAUCCACAGACUUCGGGCAGCUGAGGGAACAGCCUGUGUUUGGGAUUCAGUCAGUGGUUCAGGCUGGUGAAGCUUUAUUUCCAUUUCACUGAUUAAAAAAUAAAUACUAAGCCAACUAGGCAUGAUGGACAGAGGCAGGUGAAUCUCUGUGAGUUUGAGGCCAGACUCAUAUACACAGUGUAUUCUAGGACAGCCAGGGCUCUCAAAAGGAUGAUGAUGAUAUGAUGAUGAUGAUGAUGGUGACUAGAUGAUGAUGAUGGUAAUGAUGACGACAACAAUGAUGACAACAACAUCGAUGAUGAUGAUGAUGAAGGAAAAAAACACCCAAAACACCAAUGUGUGUGGUUUCCCAGCACACAAAUUAAAAAGUACUGUGAUAAUAGAGGGGAAAUGUGUAAUACGUAGGCAAUCAUAUCAGCAGCUCAUAUUCGUACAUUCCUGUAACCUUAAAAACAAGAAUCAGAUGAACAGUCCUUAUAUGUCACGGGGACUCAAUGUGGAUGUGGUGCUUAAAGAUCAAAGAUAUUUGAAACCAGAAGAGAUAUUCAAUUUUCUAAAUAGAAUGCAAAUGUCACAUGUUAAUGCACAAACUCCCCCUUUCACAGGUCCGUUUUAAAGUCAGCGAAGAGGGACGUAUUUAUGUUACAUCAGGACUUUAGAAGGAUGGUGGAACAGCCCCAAAUCUCCAUGGCAUAAAAUUACUUUUACUGUUCCUUCAUGACUGCACAUUUGCUUCUGUUAUGAACAUAACAUAAAUAUCCAUGCUUCCUGGUGGUCUUAGGCAACCCCAGUGAGAGGGUCGUUCCAACCCUCAACAUGUCGCGCCCCACAUGUUGAGAAUAGCAGAUAAAAGCACUCCAUCUGUAAGACUGUCACCAAUGGGAGGACGCACUUUGAAUUCACAACUCUGCUUUCCAGGUCACUAAUAGCCCAGUAUUCUAUACAUCUGUGAGCUUACUUGGAAGCCAUAGCAGUCCUAUAAUACGGGUGUUCUUCACGCUUCACGGAUGGGAGCAUUGAGGUUCAGAGAGGGCAAGUGACUUAGAAAGAACUCACACAGCAAGAGACUCACACAGCCAGGGCCAUUGAGUGCCUAAGGAAUUUCCCCAGCAACUCCUGAAGCUACAAAUGGAUCAUAUUCCAUAGACUUGCUUUGAAAAUUAAUGUUUUGCAUUUUCCUAUGAAAGGCAUUAUAAAUAUGCACACCAAGUUAAACAUCAGAGAAAGGUAAGAAGAAGAAAAAAUUAACCAUCAUUUCACAACCCAGUUAAUAUUUCAUUUAUGCCUAUAUUAAAAAAAAUAUUUUCAAAAUUACUUGUCCUAAUUGCUUGAUGGUGGCUAAUAAUCAUCGUAGAAAAUUUUUGAAAACUGCAAUCAUGUAUAUAAAAGAAAAUUUCAAUCGCUAAUAAUCUCAAAAUAGGAAGCUAACUGUUUAAGACAUAGCAGACCUUACCCUUCUUGAGACAGAAGCCAAAGCUGUCUAUAUCACACACUUUAUAAUUUAGAUAUCACUUUAAGUUACUUAUUUGGUUUUUUUUGAGAUUUAUUUCUUUGUGUGUACGUGUGUGCACAUGCCCAUGUGUGUGCACAUGCCUGUGUGUGUGCACAUGUCCGUGUGUGUGCACAUGCCCACGUGCAGUUAUGUGUGCUUCUGUAUGUCUGUGGAGGCCAGAAGAGAGCUUUGGAACUCUCUUCACUACGUUGUUGCACAUACUCCUCAGAGACACGGCCUCUCCCUAAACCUUGACUCCUAGCCCUACAAGCCGUCAAGUUCCAGGGUCUCGUUCCUCUAUGCCCAUCAGCUCAUCAGAGCUGGGGGAACAGGAGUUUUCAGGAUGUACAGCUUGCUGCACGUGCUAGGAUCUGCCUGGGUCCUCUCGACUUCCCAGCAAGCACUGCUCUCAACUGCUGGGCUGUCACUCCGGAUCCUUGUUGGUUUUUCUAACCUGGUAUUUUCUUUUCCUUGAAGUCUCAAAUAUGACUUUUAGACACUUAACCAGAGUGCUUCUUGGUUGUUCUGAAUGGACUAGUUACUGUUAUUCUCACAACCAAAAUACCUAAAGGAUGAAUUGAAUUACUGUCUCAAUCUGCACCUACAGCUCCACAAGAUGACUUAAUGGGGCCAACCCCACAAAUGUAACUUGGUUUAAGCAGUUUUCACUGGAGGGGAAAGAAAGCUGGGUCAAGUGUGUUCAAUUAGAGACAUUGGUUUCUGACUAAAGACGUAAAUAUUGAUCUGCCAGAUGAAGUAAAUUUGUGGAUUACAAGAAUUUGGAAGGGUUGUGAAAAUGGGGGGUUAAUAUUAAAUUAAGAGUUUCUCUCCAGCAGACAAAAAUCAACAUUCCUUGAGAACCUUUGCAUCGCAUGAUAUCACAUGCCUAAGGUGCUUAAAUAUACUUAAAUUUUCAACUCAAAAAUGGCUGCUGGGUAAACUGGGGAAGGUGCACCUAGCCAAGAUACCUUACAGGCACAGGCUUUCACUUUUCCAAGGAAUAUCGUAAGACCCUGACCUAAAAGCAAAUAAACACACACACACACACACACACACACACACACACACACACACGGUGGGGAGACAGAGACAGAGAGGGGGGAGGGAGGGAGAGAGAGAGAGAGAGAGA